This 98-nucleotide Y RNA is filed under the name Nomascus leucogenys (northern white-cheeked gibbon). It matches the Rfam family "Y RNA". From Rfam's summary of the family: Y RNAs are components of the Ro ribonucleoprotein particle (Ro RNP), in association with Ro60 and La proteins. The record is from Rfam by way of RNAcentral. Lineage: Eukaryota; Metazoa; Chordata; Mammalia; Primates; Hylobatidae.
GGUUGGUCCGAGUGCAGUGGUGUUUACAAACUAGCUGAUCACAACCAGUUACUGAUGUCAUUGUUCCUGCUCCACUCCCACUGCUUCACUUGCCUUUA